This 745-nucleotide ribosomal RNA is filed under the name uncultured bacterium. Its description in RNAcentral is "bacterial SSU rRNA". It matches the Rfam family "Bacterial small subunit ribosomal RNA", at positions 562 to 1308 of the family's 1533-position model. The record is from RNAcentral.
UAAGCGCGCGCAGGCGGUUUCUUAAGUCUGAUGUGAAAGCCCACGGCUCAACCGUGGAGGGUCAUUGGAAACUGGGAAGCUUGAGUGCAGAAGAGGAGAGUGGAAUUCCAUGUGUAGCGGUGAAAUGCGUAGAGAUAUGGAGGAACACCAGUGGCGAAGGCGACUCUCUGGUCUGCAACUGACGCUGAGGCGCGAAAGCGUGGGGAGCGAACAGGAUUAGAUACCCUGGUAGUCCACGCUGUAAACGAUGAGUGCUAGGUGUCGGGGGGUCCAACCCUCGGUGCUGUCGCUAACGCAAUAAGCACUCCGCCUGGGGAGUACGGUCGCAAGACUGAAACUCAAAGGAAUUGACGGGGGCCCGCACAAGCGGUGGAGCAUGUGGUUUAAUUCGAAGCAACGCGAAGAACCUUACCAAGUCUUGACAUCCCUUGCACGCUCUAGAGAUAGAGUUUUCCCCUUCGGGGGACAAGGUGACAGGUGGUGCAUGGUUGUCGUCAGCUCGUGUCGUGAGAUGUUGGGUUAAGUCCCGCAACGAGCGCAACCCUUGAUCUUAGUUGCCAGCAUUUAGUUGGGCACUCUAAGGUGACUGCCGGUGACAAACCGGAGGAAGGUGGGGAUGACGUCAAAUCAUCAUGCCCCUUAUGACUUGGGCUACACACGUGCUACAAUGGGUGAUACAAAGGGUUGCGAAGUCGCGAGACGGAGCUAAUCCCAUAAAGUCACUCUCAGUUCGGAUUGCAGCUGC